This 494-nucleotide ribosomal RNA is filed under the name uncultured bacterium. RNAcentral describes it as "partial 16S ribosomal RNA". It matches the Rfam family "Bacterial small subunit ribosomal RNA", at positions 28 to 523 of the family's 1533-position model. The record is from RNAcentral.
GAUGAACGCUAGCGGCAGGCCUAACACAUGCAAGUCGAGGGGUAUCCCGCUUUCAGGCGGGAGAGACCGGCGCACGGGUGCGUAACGCGUAUGCAACCUACCCUGUACUGGGGGAUAGCCCGGAGAAAUUCGGAUUAACACCCCAUAGUACUAAUGAAUGGCAUCAUUUAUUAGUUAAAGGUUACGGUAUAAGAUGGGCAUGCGUCCUAUUAGCUAGAUGGUGAGGUAACGGCUCACCAUGGCGACGAUAGGUAGGGGGCCUGAGAGGGUGGUCCCCCACACUGGUACUGAGACACGGACCAGACUCCUACGGGAGGCAGCAGUGAGGAAUAUUGGUCAAUGGGCGCAAGCCUGAACCAGCCAUGCCGCGUGCAGGAAGACGGUCCUAUGGAUUGUAAACUGCUUUUAUUUGGGAAUAAACCUCUUUACGUGUAGAGAGCUGAAGGUACCAAAUGAAUAAGCACCGGCUAACUCCGUGCCAGCAGCCGCCGUAA